GAAAAACAUAGAAAGAGGGUUUGAAGGCUAAUUUGAGAGUGUGAAAUUUGUGAGGGUUGAGUAUGUUAUGAGAAGGAAAAGAGACAUGU
Myotis davidii is the source of this 89-nucleotide long non-coding RNA. RefSeq lists it as uncharacterized. The record is from RefSeq and is a predicted model, not a curated record. NCBI's taxonomy places the organism in Eukaryota, Metazoa, Chordata, Mammalia, Chiroptera, Vespertilionidae. The transcript has 3 exons.